This 432-nucleotide ribosomal RNA is filed under the name uncultured Acidobacteriota bacterium. RNAcentral's name for it is "bacterial SSU rRNA". It matches the Rfam family "Bacterial small subunit ribosomal RNA", at positions 90 to 504 of the family's 1533-position model. The record is from RNAcentral. Lineage: Bacteria; Pseudomonadati; Acidobacteriota.
GUUGAGUGGCGAACGGGUGAGUAACACGUGGGUGACCUACCUUCGAGUGUGGGAUAACGUCCCGAAAGGGACGCUAAUACCGCAUAUCAUCCUGCCUUUGAACAGGUGUUGAUCAAAGCCGGGGAUCGCAAGACCUGGCGCUUGAUGAGGGGCCCGCGCCUGAUUAGCUAGUUGGUGGGGUAAUGGCUCACCAAGGCGACGAUCAGUAUCCGGCCUGAGAGGGCUGACGGACACUCUGGGACUGAUACACGGUCCAGACUCCUACGGGAGGCAGCAGUGGGGAAUUGUUCGCAAUGGGCGCAAGCCUGACGACGCAACGCCGCGUGGAGGAUGAAGGUCUUCGGAUUGUAAACUCCUUUUGUUCGGGACGAAAAGCUUCACCUAACACGUCGAGGUCUGACGGUACCGAGUGAGGAAUCCCCGGCUAACUCU